AGCGUUUGCUUCACUAGAAGAUGAGAGUGCGCAACAUUAGUUAGUUGGUAAGGUAAUGGCUUACCAAGACUAUGAUGUUUAGCCGGGUUGAGAAACUGACCGGCCACACUGGGACUGAGAUACGGCCCAGACUCCUACGGGAGGCAGCAGUAGGGAAUAUUCCACAAUGAGCGAAAGCUUGAUGGAGCGACACAGCGUGCACGAUGACGGCCCUCGGGUUGUAAAGUGCUGUUAUUAGGGAAGAACACUUGAUAGAGGAAAUGCUAUCAAGCUGACGGUACCUGAUCAGAAAGCGAUGGCUAACUAUGUGCCAGCAGCCGCGGUAAUACAUAGGUCGCAAGCGUUAUCCGGAAUUAUUGGGCGUAAAG
This 368-nucleotide ribosomal RNA is filed under the name [Mycoplasma] gypis. Its description in RNAcentral is "bacterial SSU rRNA". It matches the Rfam family "Bacterial small subunit ribosomal RNA", at positions 205 to 565 of the family's 1533-position model. Lineage: Bacteria; Bacillati; Mycoplasmatota; Mycoplasmoidales; Metamycoplasmataceae. The record is from RNAcentral.